CGCCAGCAGCCGCGGUAAUACGUAGGGGGCGAGCGUUGUCCGGAUUCAUUGGGCGUAAAGAGCUCGUAGGCGGUUCAGUAAGUCGGGUGUGAAAGCUCCGAGCUCAACUCGGAGAGGCCACCCGAUACUGCUGUGACUUGAGUCCAGUAGAGGAGCGUGGAACUCCUGGUGUAGCGGUGAAAUGCGCAGAUAUCAGGAAGAACACCGGUAGCGAAGGCGGCGCUCUGGGCUGGAACUGACGCUGAGGAGCGAAAGCGUGGGUAGCAAACAGGAUUAGAUACCCUGGUAGUCCACGCCGUAAACGUUGGGCACUAGGUGUGGGGAGGAGUCAACCCUUUCCGUGCCGUAGCUAACGCAUUAAGUGCCCCGCCUGGGGAGUACGGCCGCAAGGCUAAAACUCAAAGGAAUUGACGGGGGCCCGCACAAGAC
RNAcentral lists this ribosomal RNA (429 nucleotides) under uncultured bacterium. RNAcentral's name for it is "bacterial SSU rRNA". It matches the Rfam family "Bacterial small subunit ribosomal RNA", at positions 506 to 931 of the family's 1533-position model. The record is from RNAcentral.